UUUUACCAGUCUGGCAAGUGAAGUCACUCCAUGCUCCUUCUCUGCCAAACAAUAGAAGAAUGGCUAAUAUCUUUUGAUGGAGAUGCAACCAAGUUCUUUGGUGUGGAACUCUGGCUGCUACAUUCAGACUGGAUCAACACAGCUGCCGGACCCCAGAGGACAGCACCACCAGAACCCCAUCAAGCCUGUACCCACAGCAACAGGAACUUUUGUGAGUAAUAAAAAUGUGUUUGGGCUUC
Molecule: long non-coding RNA, 239 nt
Organism: Pipistrellus kuhlii (Kuhl's pipistrelle)
Lineage: Eukaryota; Metazoa; Chordata; Mammalia; Chiroptera; Vespertilionidae
Exons: 3
Source: RefSeq, a predicted model, not a curated record